GACGAACGCUGGCGGCGUGCUUAACACAUGCAAGUCGAACGGAAAGGCCCCUUUGGGGGUACUCGAGUGGCGAACGGGUGAGUAACACGUGAGUAACCUGCCCUUGACUUCGGGAUAACUUCAGGAAACUGGGGCUAAUACCGGAUAGGAAUCCUUGCUGCAUGGUGGGGGUUGGAAAGCUUCGGCGGUUUUGGAUGGACUCGCGGCUUAUCAGCUUGUUGGUGGGGUAGUGGCUUACCAAGGCUUUGACGGGUAGCCGGCCUGAGAGGGCGACCGGCCACAUUGGGACUGAGAUACGGCCCAGACGCCUACGGGAGGCAGCAGUGGGGAAUAGUGCACAAUGGGCGGAAGCCUGAUGCAGCAACGCCGCGUGCGGGAUGACGGCCUUCGGGUUGUAAACCGCUUUCAGCAGGGGCGAAGCUUGUGGUGACGGUACCUGCAGAAGAAGCACCGGCUAACUACGUG
This 465-nucleotide ribosomal RNA is filed under the name uncultured bacterium. Its description in RNAcentral is "partial 16S ribosomal RNA". It matches the Rfam family "Bacterial small subunit ribosomal RNA", at positions 28 to 507 of the family's 1533-position model. The record is from RNAcentral.